GAGUUUGAUCCUGGCUCAGGAUGAACGCUGGCGGCGUGCUUAACACAUGCAAGUCGAACGGGCCCAUAUUGAAACCUAGUGAUUUAUGAGUUAGUGGCGGACGGGUGAGUAACGCGUGGAAAACCUGCCGUAUACUGGGGGGAUAACACUUAGAAAUAGGUGCUAAUACCGCAUAAGCGCACAGCUUCGCAUGAAGUGGUGUGAAAAACUCUGGUGGUAUACGAUGGUUCCGCGUCUGAUUAGCUUGUUGGCGGGGUAAUGGCUCACCAAGGCAACGAUCAGUAGCCGGCCUGAGAGGGUGAACGGCCACAUUGGGACUGAGACACGGCCCAAACUCCUACGGGAGGCAGCAGUGGGGAAUAUUGCACAAUGGGGGAAACCCUGAUGCAGCGACGCCGCGUGAGUGAAGAAGUAUUUCGGUAUGUAAAGCUCUAUCAGCAGGGAAGAAAAUGACGGUACCUGAUUAAGAAGCCCCGGCUAACUACGUGCCAGCAGCCGCGGUAAG
This 505-nucleotide ribosomal RNA is filed under the name uncultured microorganism. RNAcentral's name for it is "bacterial SSU rRNA". It matches the Rfam family "Bacterial small subunit ribosomal RNA", at positions 9 to 524 of the family's 1533-position model. The record is from RNAcentral.